UAACACUAAACAAUCCCACGUUUCCCUCCCCUCCUCGUUUCCGGCCUGGGUUCGUACCUACCUCCCAGAGCGAGAAUCUGGGCCUUCCGGCAGUGACCCCCCUUAGUAACGGUGCCUGUUUCCGCCUCUCCUGCCGGAGCCGGUCCAGGUCCUACUCCCGGCAGCGACAGUCGAUAAACUUGUUUCUUGUUGAAGUCGCACUUGGAUGUGGGGUGGAAAUUUUUAAUGUGGGACACGGGUAUAAUAUGAUGCACUUGGUCCUGCAGGAAGCGUACGCAGGCGAACAUGUUUGUUGAAGGGCGCCGCCAAUAACAGUAUCAGCAGCAACUGCUGCUGCUGCCGCCGCCGCCACCUUUUCCUUCUCCUUCCCCUCAGCAGACUGGCUCCCAGUAGAGCGGAGAGGAACACAAUCCGGAUCGCAGGCUCCACCGCGAACCACCACCCCCUCCAGCAGCUGGCUGCGCCUGACGUCACCGACAGAGGCGCACCGGCGCCAGCAGCAGGAGGUAGACUCGGACUGUACCCCAGGGCAAACGUGCUCUCACUGAUUCCAGGCUCUGCGUUGUGUACAGCCGACCCGGUGGUGAAGCGUAUAAGAAUUUUGAUGGCAUUGAGCGAACAGUAACGUAUUUGGAAGUUACGAUGGUACGAAUUGAGGAAACUUAGGUCCAGGCCUGAAACGUCAGCCUUCCUGCUCCUCUGAUGCUGCUUGGCCUGCUGUGUUCUUUCAGCUCUACACCUUGUUAUCUCAGAUUCUCCAGCAGCUGCAGUUCCUACUAUCUCAAAACAGCUUUUAGGUGGUUAUGUUCCAAAGUGUCUACUGCCUUUUUGAGCAGUUAAAGUCACAGGUUUGGAUAAUGUUAUUGAAAUCUGGAUGAUUACUGCAGGGCACCUAUAAGACUCUACUUCGACAACAAAACAGUGCAUAUGACAGAGUAAAUUUUGACGUUUAAUGUUUGACACUUUCAGGAUAUUAUUCUGGGAGGAAUUCCAGAGUGGGUCCCAGCCAGGUCCACUCAGUUUCUUGUUUUUUUCCUUUUGUUUGGAAAACUAUAAAGUGAGUGAAUUAUGUUGUAUGCACUUGAUUUUUGUAUGUUAUUAUAAAUUGUUAUGCACAUAAACAAUGCAGGAGCUUGCUACACCAAAUGCCAAUUAAAAUUUAUUAGGUGCCAAAAAUACCACAAAUGGUGCUUCUCAUGAGCAGGAAGUGAACAUGCUUUAUCCUUUAAAACAGUGAUCCUCUGUCAGUCCUGUGUGCACAUCAAUCGUGCUUCAGUGCCUUGCAGCUUAAACUGCAGACUCUUACCAGGUAGUUUGUUGAAUCGUGUUUUUCAGUUUGAUCCAGAUGCAGAGUACGGUUAACUUUUUUAUGGGGCAAUGCAACAAUUGAAUCAUAAAUAUGCUCAGAAGUGAUGUGUGAAGCUAGUAUAUUACUGCACUAGGAAUAUAGGAAGCUAUUUGGCCUUCUCAAGUCCGUGCAAACUCUUGGCAAGGGCAGCUUAACUUACCUCCUGGUAACCAUGUCGGAUAAAGAGCCCUUCAUAAGGAAGAAUAACGCAAAGCAUUUUACAAAGAUAAUAAGAUUCCAAGCCCAAAAUUAUAAUGGUCAAUAAGGCAGAUAACAAACAAAUGAUCAACAAGGUACAUUUUUAAUGAAUCUGUGGGAUGUCAGAUGCAGAGUCAUCAAACUAGUUUUGUGGAAAUUUUCCCAAAUUCGAAGCUUAAUGUUGUUACAAAACUUCCACUAAAAAAGUGCUAUCCUCAGACAAAUUUUCUACCGUAGCUAGGUUUUUUUUACAUCAAUCUGAAGUAAGGAUUGUGAUAUGGAAAAUUCAGCCAAAAACAAAAAGAAUAUUGGAUCUUUUCAUUGUUUACAAUGAUAUUAUGACACCAACUUGUAGAGGUGGUAGCAUUGUGGUUUUUUUUUUCCACUUAUGGGAUGUAGAUAUCACUGGCUAGCCAGCAUUUGUUGCCCUGGAGAAGGAGGGGGUGAGCUGCUGCCUUGAACUGCUGUGGGCUGACCCACAAGGCCACUGGACAAGAAACCAAGAGACUUAGACUAAUGUUCUGGGGAUAAGGGUUUGAAUUUCAUCAUAGCAGAUAGAAUGUAGAACAUUACAAGUCAGGAACAGCUCUUUUGGCCCACCAUGUCUACAGCAACUAUUUUGCUAUUCUAAACUAAUCUCAUUUGGCUGUAUAUGGUUCAUACCCCUCUACUCCUACCUGUUUGUGUGUCUGUCUAAAUGCCUGUUAAACUUGGCUGAUGUAUCUGGCUCUACAACCUCCCCUCACUGUGCAUUCCAGGCACCUACAUCCUCUGUUUUAAAAAAAAAAGCAUUCUUGACAGACGUCCCUAAAACAUUUCCUCUCUAACUUUAAAUUUAUAACCCUUCAUAUUUAACAUUUCCACCCUGGGAAAGAAACUGAGUAUCUGCCCUAUCCAUACCUUUCAUAAUUUUUGGAUAUGAAUUACAUCAGUAUCCAAGGAGUUUCGAAUGGUGCUGAACAUUGGGCAAUCAUCAGUGAACAUCCCCACUUCUGACUUGAAAGUAGCUGAAGAUAGUUGGGCCUAGGAUGCUAUCCUGAGAAACUCCUACAGAGCUCCUCCCUGGAGCUGAGAUGACUAAUUUCCAACAACCAUGAACGUCUUUCUACGUAUCAGUUUUGACUCCAACCACCAGUGAUUUUUGACUCUGAUACCCAGUGAUUCCAGUUUUGCUAGGGCUGCUUGAUGGUACAGUCAGCUGAAUGCAGCCUUGAUGUAAAGGGCUGUCAUUCUCACCUCUAGAAUUCAGCACCUUUGUCCAUGUUUGAACCAAGGCUGUACCCGCAUUCACCACUUCCUCUGGAAAGCCAAAGGACCUAUUCUGUGUUGUAAUGUUCUAUGUUUUACACACAAACCACACUGUGUAGAAAAAAUUGUCCCUUGUGUCUUUUUAAAAUGUUUCUCCUGUCACCUCAAAAAUAUGUCCUCUAGCCUUGAAAUCCCCCACUCUAGGGAAAAGAUACUUGCCAUUCACCUUACCUAUACCCCUCACGAUUUUAUAAACAUCUGUAUGGUCACCCCUCAACCUCCUACACUACAGUGAAAGAAGUCCUAGCGUACCAACCUCUCCUUAUAAUCCAUUCCCAGCAACAUCCUGGUAAAUAUCUUCUGAAUCCUGUCCAGUUUAAUAAUAAUCUUCCUAUAACUGAGCGAUCAGAAUUGGAGACAGUAUUCCAGAAGAGGCCGCACCAAUGUCCUGUAUGACCUCAAUGUAACAUCCCAAGUCCUAUACUGAAAAGACUGAGCGAUGAAGGUAAGUGCACUAAAUGCUGUCUUAACCACACUAUCUAUAUAUGUGAUACAAACUUCAAAGAAUUAACAAAUCACAGGUGUCCCAACUGUGAAUGAAUCUCUUCCCAUGCUUGGCACAAGUUAAUGGUUUCUCCUGGUGUGAACUCACUGAUGUUUAGUUGAGAUGAUAGCAUGAACCCAUUCACACACCAGCCAGCUAUUUCCACCUCGGGAACAUCACCCUAUCCACCCGAGACUCAGAUCCUCUGCUGCUGAAACUGACAUCCAUUCCUUUGUUAGCUGAGUAUCUAAAACUCUGCUAUCCACAUGCUCAAUUGUACCAAGAUAAAUACCAUCACUCCUGUGCUCCCUGACCUACAAAGAUUACAAUCUAUAAACAAAAACAUUUUAAAAUUCUUACCAUUGACUUAAUUCCUGGCUGUGAUCAUCCUGACCUCCCCACACCGUACAACCUUCAAGACUUGGACAACUCAUUUAGUUUAAGACUCCAAUAAUAUGUUUAUGCACUGCUUCACCAUUGGUGGCUCAACAGUCUGGAAUUCCCACCCUGAACGUCUCAGGUUUGCUUUCCUCCGUUAAGAUAUUCCUGUAAACCCACCUAUUUGGCAAUAGCCUCUCUGAUCAAGGGUCUAGGCCCGAAACGUCAGUUUUUGUGCUCCUGAGAUGCUGCUUGGCCUGCUGUGUUCAUCCAGCUUCACACUUUGUUAUCUUGGAUUCUCCAGUAUCUGCAGUUCCCAUUAUCUCUGAUAUUUGGCAAUGCUUUCGGUCACCUGACCUACUAUCUCCCUCUGUGGCCUUAGGGUGCAUAGUCCUCUAUAAUAUUUGUGUACUUAGAAACGUGAUGAAAUUUAAAUUAUUGAUUUGUACAUAUUAUCAACUAAAAUUAUUAAAACGCUUAAGUGAA
Molecule: long non-coding RNA, 4202 nt
Organism: Stegostoma tigrinum
Lineage: Eukaryota; Metazoa; Chordata; Chondrichthyes; Orectolobiformes; Stegostomatidae
Exons: 2
Source: RefSeq, a predicted model, not a curated record